RNAcentral lists this unclassified non-coding RNA (286 nucleotides) under uncultured fungus. RNAcentral's name for it is "partial contains 5.8S ribosomal RNA, internal transcribed spacer 2, and large subunit ribosomal RNA". Lineage: Eukaryota; Fungi. The record is from RNAcentral.
AACGCACCUUGCGCUCUUGGGUUAUUCCUAGGAGCAUGUUCGUUUCAGUGUCGCGUACCUUCUCAACCCCCUUCGUAAGAAGUGUCAGGUGUUGGAUCAUGGCCUCUUUGCUCUUAUCAGUAAGAGCUGGGCUGAAUUAGAAGAAGCUGUACCUUUUAAACUAGCGGCUUGACCUGUUGUCGUAAUAACACAAUUUCAAUGGGGAUCGCUUGGUUGGGAUGAGCUUACCACAAAUUAUGAUUUAUACAUUGACCUGAAAUCGAGCAGGACUACCCCCUGAACUUAA